This is a long non-coding RNA of Carcharodon carcharias (great white shark), 1188 nucleotides long. RefSeq lists it as uncharacterized. The transcript has 3 exons. The record is from RefSeq and is a predicted model, not a curated record. Lineage: Eukaryota; Metazoa; Chordata; Chondrichthyes; Lamniformes; Lamnidae.
UUCUCCCUGAGCAUGCGCAGUGCUGUUCUGUGACCGGAGCCGCAGGGAGCAGGUGAAAAGAUGGCGUCUCCAGCAGAAUAACAGAGUUAGUGGCUACUCCCCAAGGCUUCUGAUACCUUUCCAGCUGCAGGCUCCCCACAGGGAAUUUUAAAUUCGAUAACACAAUGUGACAUUUGCACUUCCCCAGGCCUUGAAUGAUAUUCUGCAAAAUGAGCCACUGUGGAGAAAGAGAUGAAAAUUGGGACGAAUUGCUGCAAGAUUGUUAAUAUAUCUGUGAACUGUUGAAUGACCUGCUAAUGUGCUAUGUUAUUUUUGUGAUUCUAAUGUCCGAUCAAUUUCUCUGCCGCAUGGCUGUUUUUCAGCCGAAUUGUACUUCCAUACAACAAGGUCCUGAAGUGCAAUAAGACUUCAUGGUUUGAUAUUCUAAGUCAGUCCCUGUCGUUCUACACAUUAUUUCCGUAGUGUAAUUUUUAAUCACAUGCAUGCGAAAGUACUCAGGCUGGAACCGGGAAGAAACAUUAUCUAAGCUUACUUGGCUAAGUAUGAGGAAAAUUCCAGAAUUCACGCUUGUUGGUGACUAUUAACUAUACAUAGUAUGUGACAGCCAGAUGACAUGUUCUCUGUCCUCUGUCUCAAAACACAUUCAGCAAAAUUGGAAAAGACUGAAUUUGACUGUGCACAAGUUUAUUCAGUCAACAACAGGAAUUAAUAGGGUUACAAAUUGAAAUUAACAAUUACUUCACAUCUCAAGUUAUAUAUUAGUGUGGUUCUAAAGACAGACGCAAGCAAUACUAUGAUUGAACAUGAUGAAUUGGCAGAGAUGGUAUAUAAUUCCUUUGCAUCAGUCUUUAUGAUAGAUCUUUAUUCCUUCAUGAGCAUCGCUGGCCAGCAUUUGUUGUCCAUCUGCAAUUGCCCUGCUGAGUGACUUGCUGGACAAUUUCCAAGGGAAGUUUAGAUACAACCACAUUGCAGUGCAUCUGGAGUCACAUGUAGGCCAGGGAAGGACGACAGCAGAUUUACUUCCAGAAAGGACUGGCGAACCAGAUGGGUUUUUACAACAGUCAAUGAUUGUUGCAUGGUCACCAUUGCUGAGAAAAUACUGGAGACAUGCUUGAUCAGGAUAGAUAUCUAUUGUAAAUUUGACAUGAAUUAAGUUGCUUAAAUAAAUAAUGUUUAUUUUGAAAAAUG